UCCCUCGUGGUUCAGUGGUUAAGAUUCUGCACUUCCAUUGCAGGGGGUGCAGGUUCAAUCCCUGUUUGGGGAA
RNAcentral lists this transfer RNA (73 nucleotides) under Ovis aries (sheep). It matches the Rfam family "tRNA". From Rfam's summary of the family: Transfer RNA (tRNA) molecules are approximately 80 nucleotides in length. Their secondary structure includes four short double-helical elements and three loops (D, anti-codon, and T loops). The record is from Rfam by way of RNAcentral. Lineage: Eukaryota; Metazoa; Chordata; Mammalia; Artiodactyla; Bovidae.